AACGAACGCUGGCGGCAUGCCUAACACAUGCCAGUCGAACGAGACCUUCGGGUCUAGUGGCGCACGGGUGCGUAACGCGUGGGAACCUGCCCUUAGGUUCGGAAUAACUCCCCGAAAGGGGUGCUAAUACCGGAUAAUGUCUUCGGACCAAAGAUUUAUCGCCUUUGGAUGGGCCCGCGUUGGAUUAGCUAGUUGGUAGGGUAAAAGCCUACCAAGGCGACGAUCCAUAGCCGGUCUGAGAGGAUGAUCAGCCACACUGGGACUGAGACACGGCCCAGACUCCUACGGGAGGCAGCAGUGGGGAAUAUUGGACAAUGGGCGAAAGCCUGAUCCAGCAAUGCCGCGUGAGUGAUGAAGGCCUUAGGGUUGUAAAGCUCUUUUACCCGGGAUGAUAAUGACAGUACCGGGAGAAUAAGCUCCGGCUAACUCCGUG
Molecule: ribosomal RNA, 433 nt
Filed under: uncultured bacterium
Lineage: Bacteria
Description: partial 16S ribosomal RNA
Rfam family: Bacterial small subunit ribosomal RNA
Source: RNAcentral